GACGAGAAAUAUGAUAGAACCUCUUGUUAUAUUUUUUGUUCUUUCCAGAUCGUGUCAACUGUUUUGCCGUCAUAGUGUCAUUAUUUGUUGUGUACUUCUUAUGAUGUGAUCUACUGUAUUCCUACAACCUGAGUUUUGAGAAAUAUAUGAGAACUUAUGUCCUACCAGUAGGUUACGCUAUAUGUAUGUGGUCCUGUAUUGUCGCCCUUCAUUCCCUCCCUUCACCAGUAAUUGUUGAAG
This 240-nucleotide long non-coding RNA is filed under the name Setaria viridis. RNAcentral describes it as "long non-coding RNA (SVIR_LNC008227)". Lineage: Eukaryota; Viridiplantae; Streptophyta; Magnoliopsida; Poales; Poaceae. The record is from RNAcentral.